GAGUUUGAUCAUGGCUCAGGACGAACGCUGGCGGCGUGCCUAACACAGCAAGUCGCACGAAUGGUGGAGGGCUUGCUCUUCAUCGUUAGUGGCGGACUGGUGCGUAACACGUGAGUAAUCUGCCCUCGGGUGGGGAAUAGCCAGCCUAACGGCUGGGUAAUACCGCAUGAAGCUCUCGAGUCGCAUGGCUUGGGAGUGAAAGCGGCCGCAAGGUCGCGCCCGAGGAGGAACUCGCGGCCUAUCAGCUUGUUGGUGGGGUCAUGGCCCACCAAGGCGACGACGGGUAGCUGGUCUGAGAGGAUGGCCAGCCACAUUGGGACUGAGAUACGGCCCAGACUCCUACGGGAGGCAGCAGUGGGGAAUAUUGCGCAAUGGCCGCAAGGCUGACGCAGCGACGCCGCGUGUGGGAUGAAGGCCUUCGGGUUGUAAACCACUGUCAGGGGGGAAGAAUACCCGGCUUCGAAUAGGAGACCGAGGGUGACGGUACCCCCAGAGGAAGCACCGGCUAACUCCGUGCCAGCAGCCGCGGUAAUAC
This 535-nucleotide ribosomal RNA is filed under the name uncultured bacterium. RNAcentral's name for it is "bacterial SSU rRNA". It matches the Rfam family "Bacterial small subunit ribosomal RNA", at positions 9 to 526 of the family's 1533-position model. The record is from RNAcentral.